AAAUGCUUAUUUGAAAAGAGGGUGCUAGUCUGGAUCGAUGAUGAGAAAACUGUCUGAGGAUGCUGAGAGACAAAACAAGCACUGCAGAUGUCAAUCUGAGGUCCAGAUGAGUGAGUGACCUUUCUAUGGAAAAACCUAGACUCAGAGCCUGGCUCUAUUUGCUGACCCAUAAGAGACCAUAGAAUGCUGCCUUUUAGAGCAAGGCGUGAGCAUCCUUUUGUAUGAAACAAUUUGCUCCUUUAGAUAGGCUGAGUAAUCCAAGCCUUGCUUCAUUUCCCCCCAUUGAGUAGAUUAGUAUAGAUAGAUUCCUCUGUCUAAGCCAUCUGUUCUUGAAUAAUGAGUGGGAAGUCAUAGUGGUUCAAAGAAGGGAAUGCAUGCCAAUAUUAAGUAUAGACAGUGAUACCAAUUUAUGGUUUUGUUAUCUUUGAUGUUCAAUGUUUUCUGAGACUAUGUUUUGCUUUUCUUUAGGUCUUCUACUUGAAAGAUCUGGGUUCUCAUAUUCCAGACAAGAAGAUAAUUCUUUGAUACAAAGUAGCUGUGUUGUGGUCAUGGUGAAGUUGAAGUGAAAGACUGACCAGUUGAAAUACUUGAAGACAUAUCUCUCUUUUGAGAACCAGAACUCAGCAGAAGCAUUGGAAGAAGUAUGCCCCAAGUUGUCCACACAGCUCAUACUGGGGAGAGCUCGAACACAGUCCCCUACUACCACAAAUUAUGCAGUCAAGUUUCCCACAUUUGGGGAAAUAACAGAGAUCAGUACAUCCGGAGUGCAAUGGAUAAGCCUUGCCCUGGGAAAAGAACCCUUGUAAUCAUGAUAUCUCCCCUGCCAGAGCAGUGCUCAGCUGUGACUUAUGGUGGUAUAGGGGAUUGAACUUGUGACUUUGGAGCCUCAGGUAUGAAAGUAUUUUUGCAUAACCAUUAUGCUAUCUGCCCUGCCCAGUAUUUUUUUAAAUUUUCAUAUCUUUAAUGAUAUGUGAAGUGGACCAUUUAUACAUAUGAAUAUGAGCCAUGCAUGUCUCUUCUUUAGAAAACAGCCUAUUCAGAUAUCUUUAAAUCAUUUUCUUAGUGGAGUUAAAUUGUUUAUAGUACAGUUGUUGAAAGCACUUAGCACAGUUGACAGUACAUGUUAUAGUUGUUGCCUACUCAGAUGUCAAAAGCAUAUUUUUAAAUUGUUUGAGUUUGUGAAUUUAGAGAAACUGUGUCUCUAGUAAGUGCAGUUCUUGAACAAGAACUCUUCUAGUCAUUACAUGGCUAUUGGCAUCCCCUAGAAGGUCAGGAAGAAGUAAAUUAUAAAUGGUUCUUAUGCUGUCUGUCCUCAGUAGUGACUAGAAAGAUUGUGUCAUUCCCUUGUCAAUUGCCAAGAGUGGUGAGAGAAUAUCUAGUUUUUUUUUUUGUUGUUGUUGUUUGUUUUGUUUUUGUUUUUCUUACAUAAUACUGUGUCCUUGAAUUCAAGCUCUUGCCCCAGGAAUCACAGGGCUUGACUUUAUAAAGCAUUGUUUUAGUUGUUGAGACACAGAUAUAAACAUAAAGCUGCUGUAUACAUGAUCUUAGCAAAUAUCAGACAAACUUAUACUCAUUGUUUAAUUAAAGGCAUUUGCAAAUACUGUGCAGAAAAAUGUUAUCAAGGAAGACUUUCAAUGC
Long non-coding RNA from Erinaceus europaeus (western European hedgehog), 1638 nucleotides. RefSeq lists it as uncharacterized. The record is from RefSeq and is a predicted model, not a curated record. Lineage: Eukaryota; Metazoa; Chordata; Mammalia; Eulipotyphla; Erinaceidae. The transcript is spliced from 5 exons.